CUAAAAUAUGGUUUUAGUCCCUGCAAAUAUGCCUCGUUUUGAUUUUAGUCCCUGGUAAAAAAAAAAUUUGCUUUUGGUCCCUGCAAAAUUUUUUGUUUUUGAAAAUAGUCCCUGACCCCACUUUUGUGAUGAUUUGCAUACGUGGCACAUUAUAACUGAACCAAUUUUAUAGUUUUUGGUCCCUGCAAAAUAUUUUGUUUUUAAAAAAGGUCC
Molecule: long non-coding RNA, 213 nt
Filed under: Medicago truncatula (barrel medic)
Lineage: Eukaryota; Viridiplantae; Streptophyta; Magnoliopsida; Fabales; Fabaceae
Description: lncRNA gene36383
Source: RNAcentral